GUGCCCAGAGUGCCAGGAAGCUCCAGCUCAGUUGGAAUUUAAGCCAUGACGAGGGACCAGUUCAGUUGCGUGCAAAGAAAACCCUGCCGCUGAGUGCUCAGAGACUCGUCAUGGUUUUUCCUGUUGUGCUGCUUUCUGUCUCCACAGAGGCAGCUUCUCUGGAGAACAACACAACAGCUGUGCCACCAUGAUGGCAUGGCCUGGAGGCUGCCUUGCCAUCAGAACGCUGCUGGUGCCCGCCCACACCUCUUCCUGGGGUGCUACUCAACGUCCAGCCUACAGCUGAUGCCUUGUCGAUGCUUCUGAGUCCACAUGUCGUCCCCUCUCACGGCAGAGUGAACCCUGAACAGGACGAGAUGUAGGGAAGCGAGGGAGCCCGGGAAGGUACCAGCAGGCGAGUGCAAUGUGGGGCAGGCUGUGGGACAGCUUGGAGGGAACGGAGGAAGUGCGGGGAGAUCCGUGACUACUGGUGCCCACAAAGCGCCGGAGCCACAGGACUGGGACCGAGGACGGCAAGCUUGCGAGCUAACGGGGGUCUCUGGCUGGUGGCCUUCUUACCGGUCUUGACGGUCAGCAUGGUGGAGACAUCUGCCCCGCACCCCUGGUAGCUGGUCUUCACCCUGUAGAGCACUCCAGCCUCCAGCCCAGAUACUGCCAGUGCCAGGCCCCGUGUCCUGGCGCUCCUGAGCAACUCCUCACCCCGGUAAACCCGGACAUAGAAAGUGCGGUUCUGCGUAGAAUUCAAACGCCAGGAUACUUGAAAACCGCCACCGGUGACAUUGAGGAUCCUGUAGUCACUGAGUGUAGGGCAAUCUGUGAAAUCACAGAAAGAGAAGACCAGCAUAGGGUCAGCGAGGGCGGUUUUAUCUUCUGAAGCAAGUGACGCGGCCUCGUCUCAGCUCGGUUCCCACCGAUCUAUUGAUCAAGUUGAGUCAUGCAGGACAGGACUUGCUUUCUUUUUUAACCAAUUAUAAAUGAAACCCAUUCAUUCAAAACAGAGGCAUCGAUAUUCUCUCUCCCCAGGCUUCUGAGUAAUUUUGGAAGGUAGUUCAGGAUUGCACCGGGUGACGGGGAUAUCUGAGAUGAAACAGAGAGGCGAGAGGUCUGAAGCUGAAAGCGCAGCCCCUCUAUCACUGAGCCACGUCAGAGGGUGGGGGUCAUCCAAGUGGGCCUCGGUCCACACCGGGAAUAGCAUUGAGUCGUGGCGCUCUUGAGGUCCAGAAUCUGUGAUUUCUGCAAAGUCAGAACGCUAUCUCUCUCGGGACCCGCCAGCAGCCAUUGUAUGGAAAACAUCUGCAGCAAUGGCCCUGACAGUGUCAGGUUUCAGUGCCUCGUCUGCAAAUACCCACUUGGCAGCCUGUCCCAGGGCCCCGGGCCACUCUGAUUCACGACAAGCAAGCACUUGAUCAUUUGCACAAGAACUUCUGCACUGGGAUGACUCUGGGAUCACGCAGUAAACAGUGGCCCCGUCAGGAAGCAGGACUCCGAAAUCAGGCCGUUUCCUUUACCGUCCUUUUCAUGCUUUCCUAUUGAAAUCCGUGCCUUAGGGAGCAACGCUCUGAUGGACCAACCUAUAUAUAUUCUAGUGCUCAAACAGCACUGAAGCUCUUUUUUGGUUGAAAAAAUUCUGGCUGUACAGCAAGUAUCUGGGCAGUAAGGAUUAUAUAAAAACUCGAUGGCCCCCAGGCUAGCCACCAAUAUUUUCACAUCGGAAGGCAGGACACAGCCCGAAGCAUUUUGUAUCCACUUCGGUGGAGGAUGGGGUGACAGCGAAACGCCCUGCAGAUAGGAAAGUGGGUCAACGCGAGCGGGCCCAGCAGCUUGAACAGCAGCCCCCAGCCCACACCCAGGGCUCCAGCCCUGCCUCCUCGCUGCCGUCAUCUCAAACUUGACAUGGAACGAGAGAGCACAUGGCUGGGACAACAGAUGGCCCACCCAGAUUACCGGCCACUUAAAAGCACAUUCUAUGAGGAGUGCUUCCAAGCAGAGUGCAGUUAAAAUUGAAAUGGUGUCUGUAUGAAUUUGAAAAGAACACAGCGGAAUGGUGUUUAGAAAGAAGGCUCGGAGCGCGCGCGGCUGGCAAGGCAUACUUUACCUCUUUUAAUAAACAUAUUCACUCUUUCA
Callithrix jacchus (white-tufted-ear marmoset) is the source of this 2124-nucleotide non-coding RNA. Lineage: Eukaryota; Metazoa; Chordata; Mammalia; Primates; Cebidae. The record is from RefSeq and is a predicted model, not a curated record.